AACGAACGCUGGCGGCAUGCCUAACACAUGCAAGUCGAACGAGAUCUUCGGGUCUAGUGGCGCACGGGUGCGUAACGCGUGGGAAUCUGCCCUUUGGUUCGGAAUAACAGUUGGAAACGACUGCUAAUACCGGAUGAUGACGAAAGUCCAAAGAUUUAUCGCCAGAGGAUGAGCCCGCGUAGGAUUAGCUAGUUGGUGUGGUAAAGGCGCACCAAGGCGACGAUCCUUAGCUGGUCCGAGAGGAUGAUCAGCCACACUGGGACUGAGACACGGCCCAGACUCCUACGGGAGGCAGCAGUGGGGAAUAUUGGACAGUGGGCGAAAGCCUGAUCCAGCAAUGCCGCGUGAGUGAUGAAGGCCUUAGGGUUGUAAAGCUCUUUUACCCGGGAUGAUAAUGACAGUACCGGGAGAAUAAGCUCCGGCUAACUCCGUGCCAGCCGCCGCUGUAA
This 449-nucleotide ribosomal RNA is filed under the name uncultured bacterium. Its description in RNAcentral is "partial 16S ribosomal RNA". It matches the Rfam family "Bacterial small subunit ribosomal RNA", at positions 29 to 523 of the family's 1533-position model. The record is from RNAcentral.